UGGGGAAUAUUGCACAAUGGGCGCAAGCCUGAUGCAGCCAUGCCGCGUGUGUGAAGAAGGCCUUCGGGUUGUAAAGUACUUUCAGCGGGGAGGAAGGGAGUAAAGUUAAUACCUUUGCUCAUUGACGUUACCCGCAGAAGAAGCACCGGCUAACUCCGUGCCUGCAGCCGCGGUAAUACGGAGGGUGCAAGCGUUAAUCGGAAUUACUGGGCGUAAAGCGCACGCAGGCGGUUUGUUAAGUCAGAUGUGAAAUCCCCGGGCUCAACCUGGGAACUGCAUCUGAUACUGGCAAGCUUGAGUCUCGUAGAGGGGGGUAGAAUUCCAGGUGUAGCGGUGAAAUGCGUAGAGAUCUGGAGGAAUACCGGUGGCGAAGGCGGCCCCCUGGACGAAGACUGACGCUCAGGUGCGAAAGCGUGGGGAGCAAACAGG
This 429-nucleotide ribosomal RNA is filed under the name Chloroflexota bacterium. Its description in RNAcentral is "Chloroflexi bacterium partial 16S ribosomal RNA". It matches the Rfam family "Bacterial small subunit ribosomal RNA", at positions 355 to 776 of the family's 1533-position model. Lineage: Bacteria; Bacillati; Chloroflexota. The record is from RNAcentral.